RNAcentral lists this transfer RNA (87 nucleotides) under Candidatus Dojkabacteria bacterium. RNAcentral's name for it is "tRNA-Leu". It matches the Rfam family "tRNA". Rfam says of the family: Transfer RNA (tRNA) molecules are approximately 80 nucleotides in length. Their secondary structure includes four short double-helical elements and three loops (D, anti-codon, and T loops). The record is from RNAcentral.
GCCGAGGUGGUGAAAUUGGCAGACACGCUACCUUGAGGUGGUAGUGAGAUUAAUACUCUCGUGCAGGUUCAACUCCUGUCCUCGGCA